GGGGGAUAAGCUUCAUUGUCAAGAGGGAAACAGCCCAGACUACCAGUUAAGGCCCCUAAAUAUUUACUAAGUGAUAAAGGAUGUAAUAGUACAUAGACAACCAGGAGGUUUGCCUAGAAGCAGCCACCCUUUAAAAAGUGCGUAAUAGCUUACUGGUCAAGUGCUUUUGCGCCGAAAAUGAAUGGGACUAAGUAUUUUGCCGAAGCUGUAGGAUAAUAUCGGUAGAAGAGCGUUCUGUAUUGGUUUGAAGCAAUAAUGAAAAUAGUUGUGGACUAAGCAGAAGUGAGAAUGUCGGCUUAAGUAACGAAAACAUUGGUGGAAAUCCAAUGCCCCGAAAGCCUAAGGUUUCCUUCGCAAGGCUCGUCCACGAAGGGUUAGUCAGGUCCUAAAAUAAGGUUAAUAAACGUAGUUGAUGGAUAACAGGUUAAUAUUCCUGUACCGUGUUUUAUUUGUUGAAAGUGACGAAGAAGGCUAUGUCAGCCAUAUAUUGGUUGUUUUGGUUUAAUCUUUCCAGACGUUGAGAAGUAGAAAAAAAAAUGCUUCGAGUUGAGAAGAGAAUACGAAUAGCAUUACGGUGCUUAAAGUGAUUUAUGUCAUGCUUCCAAGAAAAGCUUUUACAACGCGUAGUAAAACACGCCUGUACCUUAAACUGACACAGGUAGGCUAGUAGAGUAUACUAAGGGGCGCGAGAUAACUCUUUCUAAGGAACUCGGCAAAAUGACUCUGUAACUUCGGGAGAAAGAGUACCUCUAUUAACAUGAGGUCGCAGUAAUCAGACUCAAGCGACUGUUUACCAAAAACACAGGUCUCCGCUAAGUUGUAAAACUAUGUAUGGGGGCUGACGCCUGCCCAGUGCCGGAAGGUUAAAAAAAUUGGUUAGCGUAAGCAAAGCUGGUGAUUGAAGCCUUGGUGAACGGCGGCCGUAACUAUAACGGUCCUAAGGUAGCGAAAUUCCUUGUCGGGUAAGUUCCGACCCGCACGAAAGGCGUAACGAUUUGAGUACUGUCUCAGAAAGAGACUCGGUGAAAUAGAAUUGACUGUGAAGAUGCGGUCUACUUGCACUUGGACAGAAAGACCCUAUGAAGCUUUACUGUAACUUGAAAUUGGUUUUGGACUUUCUUUGCGCAGCAUAGGUGGGAGGCUAUGAACUUCUUUUUCGGAAGAUAGGGAGCCACAAUAUGAGAUACCACUCUGAGAAAGUUAGGAAUCUAAUGGCAUUGUUUUAUCAAGAUGUUUGACAGUUUCAGGCGGGCAGUUUUACUGGGGCGGUAGCCUCCUAAAAGGUAACGGAGGCGUACAAAGGUUUUCUCAGUCUGGACGGAAAUUAGUUGAAGAGUGUAAAGACAUAAGAAAGCUUGACUGUGAGACCUACAAGUCGAACAGAGACUAAAGUCGGUCUUAGUGAUCCGACGGUGCUGUGUGGAAAGGCCGUCGCUUAACGGAUAAAAGUUACUCUAGGGAUAACAGGCUGAUCUCCCCCAAGAGUUCACAUCGACGGGGAGGUUUGGCACCUCGAUGUCGGCUCAUCGCAGCCUGGGGCGGUAGUACGUCCCAAGGGUUGGGCUGUUCGCCCAUUAAAGCGGUACGUGAGCUGGGUUCAGAACGUCGAGAGACAGUUCGGUCCAUAUCCGGUGUGAGUGGUAGAGUAUUGAAAGGAGCUUUCCUUAGUACGAGAGGACCGGGAAGGACACACCACUGAUGUACCAGUUUUUGUGCCAACAAAUAACGCUGGGUAGUCAAGUGUGGAGUGGAUUACUGCUGAUCGCAUA
Molecule: ribosomal RNA, 1769 nt
Filed under: Strombomonas sp. Hongsung080504
Lineage: Eukaryota; Euglenozoa; Euglenophyceae; Euglenales; Euglenaceae
Description: LSU rRNA
Rfam family: Bacterial large subunit ribosomal RNA
Source: RNAcentral